CGGCGAGAGAGUGGCCGACAGGCGGGGUAGUACGGAGGGGGGAAGCGGUAUCCGGAUUUAUUGGGUUUAAAGGGUCCGGAGGCGGAACUAUAAGUCAGUGGUGAAAGCCUGUCGCUUAACGAUAGAACUGCCAUGGAUACUGUAAGUCUUGAGUAUAUUUGAGGUAGCUGGAAUAAGUAGUGUAGCGGUGAAAUGCAUAGAUAUUACUUAGAACACCAAUUGCGAAGGCAGGUUACCAAGAUAUAACUGACGCUGAGGGACGAAAGCGUGGGGAGCGAACAGGAUUAGAUACCCUAUAGUC
Molecule: ribosomal RNA, 301 nt
Filed under: uncultured Lactobacillus sp.
Lineage: Bacteria; Bacillati; Bacillota; Bacilli; Lactobacillales; Lactobacillaceae
Description: bacterial SSU rRNA
Rfam family: Bacterial small subunit ribosomal RNA
Source: RNAcentral